Molecule: ribosomal RNA, 468 nt
Filed under: uncultured bacterium
Lineage: Bacteria
Description: partial 16S ribosomal RNA
Rfam family: Bacterial small subunit ribosomal RNA
Source: RNAcentral
GACGAACGCUGGCGGCGUGCUUAACACAUGCAAGUCGAACGGAAAGGCCCUGCUUUUGUGGGGUGCUCGAGUGGCGAACGGGUGAGUAACACGUGAGUAACCUGCCCUUGACUUUGGGAUAACUUCAGGAAACUGGGGCUAAUACCGGAUAGGAGCUCCUGCUGCAUGGUGGGGGUUGGAAAGUUUCGGCUGUUGGGGAUGGACUCGCGGCUUAUCAGCUUGUUGGUGGGGUAGUGGCUUACCCAGGCUUUGCCGGGUAGCCGGCCUGAGAGGGUGACCGGCCACAUUGGGACUGAGAGACGGCCCAGACUGCUACGGGAGGCAGCAGUGGGGAAUAUUGCACAAUGGGCGGAAGCCGGAUGCAGCAACGCCGCGUGCGGGAUGACGGCCUUCUGGUUGUAAACCGCUUUCGCCUGUGACGAAGCGUGAGUGACGGUAAUGGGUAAAGAAGCACCGGCUAACUACGUG